RNAcentral lists this non-coding RNA (22 nucleotides) under Rattus norvegicus (Norway rat). Lineage: Eukaryota; Metazoa; Chordata; Mammalia; Rodentia; Muridae. The record is from RNAcentral.
UACGGUUACAGCUUGGUGUCAG